RNAcentral lists this ribosomal RNA (254 nucleotides) under uncultured bacterium. RNAcentral describes it as "partial 16S ribosomal RNA". It matches the Rfam family "Bacterial small subunit ribosomal RNA", at positions 524 to 776 of the family's 1533-position model. The record is from RNAcentral.
UACGAAGGGUGCAAACGUUGCUCGGAAUUAUUGGGCGUAAAGCGCACGUAGGCGGCUUUGUAAGUCGGAUGUGAAAUCCCUCGGCUUAACCAAGGAAGUGCAUCCGAAACUACAGAGCUUGAGUACUUAAGAGGAUCGCGGAAUUCCCGGUGUAGAGGUGAAAUUCGUAGAUAUCGGGGAGGAACACCAGUGGCGAAGGCGGGCAUCUGGGCCAACACUGACGCUGAGGCGCGAAAGCUAGGGGAGCAAACAGG